This 301-nucleotide ribosomal RNA is filed under the name uncultured bacterium. Its description in RNAcentral is "partial 16S ribosomal RNA". It matches the Rfam family "Bacterial small subunit ribosomal RNA", at positions 509 to 807 of the family's 1533-position model. The record is from RNAcentral.
CAGUAGCCGCGGUAAUACGUAGGGUGCAAGCGUUAAUCGGAAUUACUGGGCGUAAAGCGUGCGCAGGCGGUUAUAUAAGACAGAUGUGAAAUCCCCGGGCUCAACCUGGGAACUGCAUUUGUGACUGUAUAGCUAGAGUACGGCAGAGGGGGAUGGAAUUCCGCGUGUAGCAGUGAAAUGCGUAGAUAUGCGGAGGAACACCGAUGGCGAAGGCAAUCCCCUGGGCCUGUACUGACGCUCAGGUGCGAAAGCGUGGGGAGCAAACAGGAUUAGAUACCCCAGUAGUCCCUGUCUCUUAUAC